Molecule: long non-coding RNA, 1821 nt
Organism: Salvia miltiorrhiza (redroot sage)
Lineage: Eukaryota; Viridiplantae; Streptophyta; Magnoliopsida; Lamiales; Lamiaceae
Exons: 2
Source: RefSeq, a predicted model, not a curated record
AGCCCAAAACCGUUUAUUUCCUUUGCAAAUUUUAUUUGAAAAUUAGUAUAUUUUUGAGUUAUUAAAAUAUAUAUAUCUAUGAGUCGAGUUGUGAUGAAUCUAGUCGCGCCCCUAGUUAGAUAGUUAAUUUUAAGUUACAAAUUUUAAUUUUAGUAAAUAGUAAAUUUAUUUCUCAAAGAAUAGGCCAUGUAUAUACAUAAUCGUAUAAUUUCCUAUAUUGGGCCUUAAUUCUUAUAUAACUACUUACCAUUAUUGGGCCUGAAUAAAUUUCUCUAUAUUGGGCCUCAAUUACUUUUGUUGGGCUAAAGUAUUAUGAGCCCAUCUCAUUUUAGAAAAAAAUCAUUAGCAUUUAUAUUUCUUCUUUACUUACUGUUUUGAAAUUUCUACCGUUUCUAAUUGAAACAAUAGCUACGUGUUUUCUCCCUAGCCACAAUUCCAUUUUUCAUCUUCAGCCACUUAAUUUCUUUUUUUCCUUUUUCAGCCACAUGAUUUUACUUAAAAAUCUUCAGCCACAAAUUUAAUUUCGUGCAGCCCAAGAAUUGAGUACUAUUUAAACACAAAUCACCCGAAUUUGUAUACCAGCAAUUUACUCUUCAUCUGUUCACUUCACCAUAUAAACUCAAUCUGCCAUUUCUCACUGCACAUCAUCAUUCGGUAAUUUUAAUAUUUUCUGUAAGUUUAAAUACUCAUAUGCAAUAAUUUCUGUUUUCUUUGUAAAUUCCCAAAUUUUCAAAAGAAUCAAAAGCCCUACAAUCGAAGAAUAACAUUUUCACUAAUUUACAACAAAUUUAAAAUAGAGAAGAAAUAGAAGAGGUGGAAAGAGGAAUAGGGACAGAGAAGAGAGGAGUCGGCGCCGUGCGCUGCAUGCGCCACGGUGGCCGGCGGAGAGAAGCCGGGGUGACGGCUGGCGAUGAAGAAGAAGUACAGCAGCAGCAGCAGCGCCGGAUCUGGGACGGAGGGAGGCGGCCUGAUCAACCGCUACUCUCUGUCGCGGAACGGCGAGGGUGGCCGCGCUGUCGGCUGGAGAGAGAGAGAAAGGUGAGGGCGGUGUUGGGCAGGAGCAGGCGACGGCUGGCGGAGGAUAAGGCCGGAGGAGGAGUCAGCCACGGCUUGGAGCGGCGAGGAGAAGGGCAGAAAGGGGGAGAGAAGUCGAUGGAGAGAGAGAGAGAGGUUCAGGAGAGGACAGGGGGAGGCAGAGUCGCCGGCUUCCGGCGGUGGCGUGCCGUCUGGUGGCGGCGGCAGUAGGCCGAGAAGGGAGAAGGGAAGAGCAGCUGAGAGAGGAGAGGGAGGGUGCGUGAGUUAUGUGGGUGUGUUGAGGUAUGAGAGCUAAAUUAGGGUGAAGGGGUGGAAAUGGGCUUGGGCCCUAUUUGAUUUUUAAUUUAUUGGGCUGGGCUCCCUUUAUUCAAAAUGAUUGGGCUUCAUAUUUUAAAUUUCAUUAUUGCAUUGGACCUGAUUUUAUUAAAUCCCAACUCAAAUUUUAAAGAAGCAUGCAUUUUAUUAUUUGAUUCAUUAAACCGAUGAUUAUUUUUCAAAUGAUUUUAUGAUAAUAAAUUCUUAAGAUUUAAACUACUACUAUUACUAUUAUUUUUAAAGUUUAAUUAGGCCCUUAUAUGUUAUUAUUUGAAUUUAUCUGACUAGGUGCGGCGCGACUAGGACGUUACUUUUGAUUGAAUUACUCAAAGUUUACCUUCAAGUUCAAAUUCAGGUUUUAAAGGCCGGAGGCGCGUGGAAGGUCGAAUGGCGAGUCAAAUGUUUUGUAUUUAUUUUUCCUUAAAGAUGUUAUUUUGAGUAAAAUUCUUUAAAUAAAAAUUUAUUUCACUA